CAGAAACUCAAAGGAAGUUGACGGGGGCCCGCACAAGCGGAGGAGCAUGUGGUUUAAUUCGAUGAUACGCGAGGAACCUUACCUGGGCUCGAACGUAAGAUGACUGUAGGUGAAAGCUUACAUCUCUUCGGAGCAUUUUACGAGGUGCUGCAUGGUUGUCGUCAGCUCGUGCCGUGAGGUGUCGGGUUAAGUCCCAUAACGAGCGCAACCCCUACCUUUAGUUGCCAUCAGGUUAAGCUGGGGACUCUAAAGGAACUGCCUACGCAAGUAGUGAGGAAGGCGGGGAUGACGUCAAAUCAGCACGGCCCUUACGUCCAGGGCUACACACGUGCUACAAUGGCCGAUACAGAGGGCAGCUACCUGGUGACAGGAUGCAAAUCUCCAAAGUCGGUCUCAGUUCGGAUCGGAGUCUGCAACCCGACUCCGUGAAGUUGGAUUCGCUAGUAAUCGCGCAUCAGCCAUGGCGCGGUGAAUACGUUCCCGGGCCUU
Molecule: ribosomal RNA, 489 nt
Filed under: uncultured Sphingobacteriales bacterium
Lineage: Bacteria; Pseudomonadati; Bacteroidota; Sphingobacteriia; Sphingobacteriales
Description: bacterial SSU rRNA
Rfam family: Bacterial small subunit ribosomal RNA
Source: RNAcentral